UACCCCCCGAACCCACCCAAGGCUGCCUCCCGGACCCGUGAGGCAGAGAAGGGACCUCUGGAUUCCUACAAGCAUUAUCUUUGAGAGAUGUGUGGUGCAUUUGACCUGGAGUAAGUGACUGACUGGUCCUUUGGGACUAGGAGUAACCUGAAUAUUGUUGUGAUUUUUGGUGUAAGGGACCAUCCGUCCCAGAGGCAGGCUUACCUGGGCUGCAAAAUAGACCAGAGUGCCCAAGAGGACUGUUUGUGACUCCAUGGGGUCCAAAAGGAAGUUUUUUGGGAACCAACUCCAGAACACAGCCCCAAGAACAGAGCUGCCAG
Chelonia mydas (Green sea turtle) is the source of this 320-nucleotide long non-coding RNA. RefSeq lists it as uncharacterized. The record is from RefSeq and is a predicted model, not a curated record. The transcript is spliced from 3 exons. NCBI's taxonomy places the organism in Eukaryota, Metazoa, Chordata, Testudines, Cheloniidae.